RNAcentral lists this ribosomal RNA (292 nucleotides) under uncultured microorganism. RNAcentral's name for it is "partial 16S ribosomal RNA". It matches the Rfam family "Bacterial small subunit ribosomal RNA", at positions 505 to 796 of the family's 1533-position model. The record is from RNAcentral.
GUUCCAGCAGCCGCGGUAAUACGUAGGUUGCAAGCGUUUUCCGGAUUUAUUGGGCGUAAAGCGAGCGCAGGCGGUUUCUUAAGUCUGAUGUGAAAGCCCCCGGCUCAACCGGGGAGGGUCAUUGGAAACUGGGAGACUUGAGUGCAGAAGAGGAGAGUGGAAUUCCAUGUGUAGCGGUGAAAUGCGUAGAUAUAUGGAGGAACACCAGUGGCGAAGGCGGCUCUCUGGUCUGUAACUGACGCUGAGGCUCGAAAGCGUGGGGAGCAAACAGGAUUAGAUACCCUGGUAGUCC